ACCCGCUGACUUAAGCAUAUCAAUAAGCGGAGGAAAAGAAACCAACAGGGAUUGCCCUAGUAACGGCGAGUGAAGCGGCAACAGCUCAAAUUUGAAAGCUGGCUCCGGCCCGCAUUGUAAUUUGCAGAGGAUGCUUUUGGUGAGGUGCCUUCCGAGUUCCCUGGAACGGGACGCCACAGAGGGUGAGAGCCCCGUAUGGAUGGACACCAAACCUGUGUAAAGCUCCUUCAACGAGUCGAGUAGUUUGGGAAUGCUGCUCAAAAUGGGAGGUAAAUCUCUUCUAAAGCUAAAUACCGGCCAGAGACCGAUAGCGCACAAGUAGAGUGAUCGAAAGAUGAAAAGCACCUUGAAAAGGGGGUUAAACAGUACGUGAAAUUGUUGAAAGGGAAGCGUUUAUGACCAGACUUGCGCCGGGCAGCUCAUCAGGGGUUCUCCCCUGUGCACUCUGCCCGGCUCAGGCCAGCAUCGGUUCUCGUGGGAGGAUAAGAACGGUAGGAAUGUGGCCCCCUCUCGGGGGGGUGUUAUAGCCUGCCGUACGAUACUCCCGUGGGGACCGAGGUUCGCGCUCCGCAAGGAUGCUGGCGUAAUGGUCAUCAACGACCCGUCUUGAAACACGGACCAAGGAGUCGUCCAUUAGAGCGAGCGUUUGGGUGUAAAACCCGCACGCGUAAUGAAAGUGAACGCAGGUGAGAGCUUCGGCGCAUCAUCGACCGAUCCUGAUGUUCUCGGAUGGAUUUGAGUAAGAGUUUUAACGGACGGACCCGAAAGACAGUGAACUAUGCUUGUAUAGGGUGAAGCCAGAGGAAACUCUGGUGGAGGCUCGCAGCGGUUCUGACGUGCAAAUCGAUCGUCAAAUAUGAGCAUGGGGGCGAAAGACUAAUCGAACUGUCUAGUAGCUGGUUACCGCCGAAGUUUCCCUCAGGAUAGCAGUGUUGUUCUUCAGUUUUAUGAGGUAAAGCGAAUGAUUAGGGACUCGGGGGCGCUUAUUAGCCUUCAUCCAUUCUCAAACUUUAAAUAUGUAAGAAGCCCUUGUUACUUAAUUGAACGUGGGCAUUCGAAUGUACCAACACUAGUGGGCCAUUUUUGGUAAGCAGAACUGGCGAUGCGGGAUGAACCGAACGCGGGGUUAAGGCGCCAGAGUGUACGCUCAUCAGACACCACAAAAGGCGUUAGUACAUCUUGACAGCAGGACGGUGGCCAUGGAAGUCGGAAUCCGCUAAGGACUGUGUAACAACUCACCUGCCGAAUGUACUAGCCCUGAAAAUGGAUGGCGCUCAAGCGUACCGCCCAUACCCCGCCCUCAGGGUAGAAACGAUGCCCUGAGGAGUAGGCGGCCGUGGAGGUUAGUGACGAAGCCUAGGGCGUGAGCCCGGGUCGAACAGCCUCUAGUGCAGAUCUUGGUGGUAGUA
Molecule: ribosomal RNA, 1409 nt
Filed under: Cytospora sp.
Lineage: Eukaryota; Fungi; Ascomycota; Sordariomycetes; Diaporthales; Cytosporaceae
Description: partial large subunit ribosomal RNA
Rfam family: Eukaryotic large subunit ribosomal RNA
Source: RNAcentral